UGAAUCCCUACUCUUUUCAAUGACAUCUCGUUACAUGUUAGCCUUAUUGUUUGAUCCUGGCUCAGAUUGAACGCUGGCGGCAGGCUUAACACAUGCAAGUCGAGCGGGGGAGGUUGCUUCGGUAACUGACCUAGCGGCGGACGGGUGAGUAAUACUUAGGAAUCUGCCUAUUAAUGGGGGACAACAUCUCGAAAGGGAUGCUAAUACCGCAUACGCCCUACGGGGGAAAGCAGGGGAUCACUUGUGACCUUGCGUUAAUAGAUGAGCCUAAGUCGGAUUAGCUAGUUGGUGGGGUAAAGGCCUACCAAGGCGACGAUCUGUAGCGGGUCUGAGAGGAUGAUCCGCCACACUGGGACUGAGACACGGCCCAGACUCCUACGGGAGGCAGCAGUGGGGAAUAUUGGACAAUGGGGGGAACCCUGAUCCAGCCAUGCCGCGUGUGUGAAGAAGGCCUUAUGGUUGUAAAGCACUUUAAGCGAGGAGGAGGCUCUUUUGGUUAAUACCCAAGAUGAGUGGACGUUACUCGCAGAAUAAGCACCGGCUAACUCUGUGCCAGCAGCCGCGGUAAUACAGAGGGUGCGAGCGUUAAUCGGAUUUACUGGGCGUAAAGCGUGCGUAGGCGGCUUUUUAAGUCGGAUGUGAAAUCCCCGAGCUUAACUUGGGAAUUGCAUUCGAUACUGGGAAGCUAGAGUAUGGGAGAGGAUGGUAGAAUUCCAGGUGUAGCGGUGAAAUGCGUAGAGAUCUGGAGGAAUACCGAUGGCGAAGGCAGCCAUCUGGCCUAAUACUGACGCUGAGGUACGAAAGCAUGGGGAGCAAACAGGAUUAGAUACCCUGGUAGUCCAUGCCGUAAACGAUGUCUACUAGCCGUUGGGGUCUUUGAGACUUUAGUGGCGCAGCUAACGCGAUAAGUAGACCGCCUGGAGACGCCUUC
RNAcentral lists this ribosomal RNA (931 nucleotides) under Acinetobacter sp. Its description in RNAcentral is "bacterial SSU rRNA". It matches the Rfam family "Bacterial small subunit ribosomal RNA", at positions 1 to 886 of the family's 1533-position model. The record is from RNAcentral. Lineage: Bacteria; Pseudomonadati; Pseudomonadota; Gammaproteobacteria; Moraxellales; Moraxellaceae.